This 409-nucleotide ribosomal RNA is filed under the name uncultured bacterium. RNAcentral describes it as "bacterial SSU rRNA". It matches the Rfam family "Bacterial small subunit ribosomal RNA", at positions 509 to 916 of the family's 1533-position model. The record is from RNAcentral.
CAGCAGCCGCGGUAAUACGUAGGUGGCGAGCGUUGUCCGGAAUUACUGGGUGUAAAGGGCGUGUAGGCGGGGCGUCAAGUCAGGUGUGAAAUUCCGAGGCUUAACUUCGGGUGUGCAUCUGAAACUGAUGUUCUUGAGUGUCGGAGAGGAAAGUGGAAUUCCCAGUGUAGCGGUGAAAUGCGUAGAGAUUGGGAGGAACACCAGUGGCGAAGGCGGCUUUCUGGACGAUAACUGACGCUGAGGCGCGAAAGCGUGGGUAGCAAACAGGAUUAGAUACCCUGGUAGUCCACGCCGUAAACGAUGGAUACUAGGUGUAGGAGGUAUCGACCCCUUCUGUGCCGGAGUUAACACAAUAAGUAUCCCACCUGGGGAGUACGGCCGCAAGGCUGAAACUCAAAGGAAUUGACGG